Molecule: ribosomal RNA, 613 nt
Filed under: Phormidium sp. NTRI13
Lineage: Bacteria; Bacillati; Cyanobacteriota; Cyanophyceae; Oscillatoriales; Oscillatoriaceae
Description: bacterial SSU rRNA
Rfam family: Bacterial small subunit ribosomal RNA
Source: RNAcentral
GACUGCUAAUACCCAAUGUGCCGAAAGGUGAAACAUUUAUGGCCUGGAGAUGAGCUCGCGUCUGAUUAGCUAGUUGGUGGGGUAAGGGCUUACCAAGGCAACAAUCUGUACCUGGUCUGAGAGGAUGAUCAGCCACACUGGAACUGAGACACGGUCCAGACUCCUACGGGAGGCAGCAGUGGGGAAUUUUCCGCAAUGGGCGCAAGCCUGACGGAGCAAUACCGCGUGGGGGAUGAAGGUUUUUGGAUUGUAAACCUCUUUUAUUUGGGAAGAAUUGAUGACGGUACCUGAUGAAUCAGCAUCGGCUAACUCCGUGCCAGCAGCCGCGGUAAUACGGAGGAUGCAAGCGUUAUCCGGAAUUAUUGGGCGUAAAGCGUCCGUAGGUGGUUAUACAAGUCUGUUGUCAAAGCGUGGGGCUCAACCCCAUACGGGCGAUGGAAACUGUAAAACUUGAGUGCGAUAGGGGUCACAGGAAUUCCCAGUGUAGCGGUGAAAUGCGUAGAUAUUGGGAAGAACACCGGCGGCGAAAGCGUGUGACUGGGUCUGCACUGACACUGAGGGACGAAAGCUAGGGGAGCAAAUGGGAUUAUAUAUCCACCUUUUUUAAAACGGG